Molecule: ribosomal RNA, 262 nt
Filed under: uncultured Spirochaeta sp.
Lineage: Bacteria; Pseudomonadati; Spirochaetota; Spirochaetia; Spirochaetales; Spirochaetaceae
Description: partial 16S ribosomal RNA
Rfam family: Bacterial small subunit ribosomal RNA
Source: RNAcentral
CCACCACGAAAGGUGGGACGUCAGGCGGGACGCCGGUGCAAACCGGAGGAAGGUGGGGACGACGUCAAGUCAUCAUGGCCCUUAUGUCCUGGGCCACACACGUGCUACAAUGGCCGGUACAGAGCGCAGCGAGGCCGCGAGGCGGAGCGAAUCGCUUAAAGCCGGUCCCAGUACGGAUUGGAGUCUGCAACCCGACUCCAUGAAGUUGGAAUCGCUAGUAAUCGCGCAUCAGCAUGGCGCGGUGAAUACGUUCCCGGGCCUU